This 376-nucleotide long non-coding RNA is filed under the name Sorghum bicolor (sorghum). Its description in RNAcentral is "long non-coding RNA (SBIC_LNC018202)". Lineage: Eukaryota; Viridiplantae; Streptophyta; Magnoliopsida; Poales; Poaceae. The record is from RNAcentral.
GCGAGUUUAUAUAGGCAAUGAAGAAAGCAAAACACAUCUCUAACUUUUUUUUGCACGCUUGAUGUAAGCUGCUUGUAAGACAAAGGCUCUUGAGUUGUGGUUUCGAUUUAUGCAUUUCAUGUGUGUGGUUGUACAAUGUUUUUCUAGACUUUUUCUUUUUAAUACAAUAGGCAACUCUCGUGCCGGUUCUGUUUCAAAAACAAUAACGAGGAUGUUUGGUUGCCCGCCUUUGUUCGCCACCUCUAAGCUUUGGCUGCCACAAGAAGCUAUUUGGUUGGUAAUUGAUGUUUGGUAUGCAACAAGAAUAGCAGUUCUUAUAUAUGUUUUAUUUCCACAACUAUGGUGCUAUUUUUUGACGCCACAGUUUAUGGCGACG